This 433-nucleotide ribosomal RNA is filed under the name uncultured bacterium. RNAcentral's name for it is "partial 16S ribosomal RNA". It matches the Rfam family "Bacterial small subunit ribosomal RNA", at positions 29 to 506 of the family's 1533-position model. The record is from RNAcentral.
AGCGAACGCUGGCGGCAGGCCUAACACAUGCAAGUCGAACGAACCUUUCGGGGUUAGUGGCGGACGGGUGAGUAACACGUGGGAACGUGCCUUUAGGUUCGGAAUAACUCAGGGAAACUUGUGCUAAUACCGAAUGUGCCCUUCGGGGGAAAGAUUAAUCGCCUUUAGAGCGGCCCGCGUCUGAUUGGCUAGUUGGUUGAGGUAAUGGCUCACCAAGGCGACGAUCAGUAGCUGGUCUGAGAGGAUGAUCAGCCACAUUGGGACUGAGACACGGCCCAAACUCCUACGGGAGGCAGCAGUGGGGAAUCUUGCGCAAUGGGCGAAAGCCUGACGCAGCCAUGCCGCGUGAAUGAUGAAGGUCUUAGGAUUGUAAAAUUCUUUCACCGGGGACGAUAAUGACGGUACCCGGAGAAGAAGCCCCGGCUAACUUCGU